This 255-nucleotide ribosomal RNA is filed under the name uncultured bacterium. RNAcentral describes it as "partial small subunit ribosomal RNA". It matches the Rfam family "Bacterial small subunit ribosomal RNA", at positions 26 to 285 of the family's 1533-position model. The record is from RNAcentral.
AGGACGAACGCUGGCGGCGUGCUUAACACAUGCAAGUCGAGCGGAAAGGCCCUUCGGGGUACUCGAGCGGCGAACGGGUGAGUAACACGUGAGCAGCCUGCCCUUAGCUCUGGGAUAGCUCCGGGAAACCGGAAUUAAUACCGGAUAUUACACCGGCUGGCAUCGGCUGGUGUGGAAAGAUUUAUCGGCUAAGGAUGGACUCGCGGCCUAUCAGCUUGUUGGUGGGGUAGAAGCCUACCAAGGCGACGACGGGUA